This 403-nucleotide ribosomal RNA is filed under the name uncultured bacterium. Its description in RNAcentral is "partial 16S ribosomal RNA". It matches the Rfam family "Bacterial small subunit ribosomal RNA", at positions 28 to 526 of the family's 1533-position model. The record is from RNAcentral.
GACGAACGCUGGCGGCGUGCCUAAUACAUGCAAGUCGAACGCAGUGGGGACGGGUGAGUAACACGUGGGUAACCUCCCAUCAGAGGGGAUAACACUUGGAAACAGGUGCUAAACCGAUACUGAUGGAUGGACCGGCGGUGCAUUAGCUAGUUGGUGAGGUAACGGCUCACCAAGACCACGAGGCAUAGCCGACUUGAGAGGGUGAUCGGCAACACUGGAACGUAGACACGGCCCAGACUCAUACGGGAGGCAGCAGUAGGGAAUCUUAGGCAAUGGACGAAAGUCUGACCGAGCAACGCCGCGUGAGUUAAGAAGGUUUUCGGAGCGUAAACUCCUUUUGUUAGGGAAGCGGUACCUAACGAAGAAGCACCGGCUAACUCCGUGCCAGCAGCCGCGGUAAUAC